UGGGGGAAGGAAGGGCGCGGGGGAUGGCGCCGGGACGCGGGGCGCCGGGAGAGCGGGAUCGGCGCGGCGCAGAGCCGCCCGCUGCCCCUGCUCGUCCCGGGGGAAGUGCAGCAGCCCCCGCUCGAAGGGGCGCCUCGAACACAACAGCCUUUAUUAAACAAAGAAAAUGCCACUGGGAAACACGGGAGGGAGGGAAAAUAGCGGUGGGGAGCAGGGAGAAGAGUCUGGAAGAGAUCGGGAAAGAGCAGCGAGGCAGAGCUGUUCGACCCCCCGAGAGGCCGAUCCCGGGAGCCGCCGGCCGUAGGUGCCAACCCCGAGUCCCGGCGGGCGGGCAGGGGGUGUCUGCCCUGCCUGGCUUCCCGAGGGUGCCAGAGGCAUCCGCGACCUUCCGCAGGAGACCCCCCCGACGGCCCAAGGAACGUGUGGCUCCGGGCGGGCAGUCAAAGGCUGGCUUAGCUGUCAAGACAACUGCGGCUUUUGAAACGAUGCCACGAACCUGCGAUCAGGAAGACAAUCUCAGACGUAUGCCUUGAAUGUUCCCAUCACUUGUUCAAGAUUGCUUACCUCUAAGGACUAGCAGAAAGGACUGUGCGCCAAGCCUGGAUUUCUCCAGCGGCAGGGCUGCAAAUAAGUUUCUAUCAGAGACAAACCUGCAAUUUCCUCCUUUGCCACUCUUUUUGCUGUUGUAUGUAUGUCCUCUUGUUUUGCCCUAAAAAAAAAUAGGAAACAUAAUAGGAUUCUAGUGCCUGUAGCUCCAGCAGCUAUACUAAUGUAGUCUACCCCAAAAAGAGAAAACAAAUUCUUAUACAAUUUAAAGAUGUCAGAAGCCUUUCCACAUUAAAAAAUGUCUGUAGCCAAAGGGAUUAAGUGUUGAUCUAAUGAAAUAUCUACCCUUUAAA
Pseudopipra pipra is the source of this 899-nucleotide long non-coding RNA. RefSeq lists it as uncharacterized. The transcript has 2 exons. Lineage: Eukaryota; Metazoa; Chordata; Aves; Passeriformes; Pipridae. The record is from RefSeq and is a predicted model, not a curated record.